UUAAGCGACUAAGCGUACACGGUGGAUGCCCUGGCAGUCAGAGGCGAUGAAGGACGUGCUAAUCUGCGAUAAGCGUCGGUAAGGUGAUAUGAACCGUUAUAACCGGCGAUUUCCGAAUGGGGAAACCCAGUGUGAUUCGUCACACUAUCAUUAACUGAAUCCAUAGGUUAAUGAGGCGAACCGGGGGAACUGAAACAUCUAAGUACCCCGAGGAAAAGAAAUCAACCGAGAUUCCCCCAGUAGCGGCGAGCGAACGGGGAGGAGCCCAGAGCCUGAAUCAGUGUGUGUGUUAGUGGAAGCGUCUGGAAAGGCGCGCGAUACAGGGUGACAGCCCCGUACACAAAAAUGCACAUACUGUGAGCUCGAUGAGUAGGGCGGGACACGUGGUAUCCUGUCUGAAUAUGGGGGGACCAUCCUCCAAGGCUAAAUACUCCUGACUGACCGAUAGUGAACCAGUACCGUGAGGGAAAGGCGAAAAGAACCCCGGCGAGGGGAGUGAAAAAGAACCUGAAACCGUGUACGUACAAGCAGUGGGAGCACAGAGCAAUCUGUGUGACUGCGUACCUUUUGUAUAAUGGGUCAGCGACUUAUAUUCUGUAGCAAGGUUAACCGAAUAGGGGAGCCGAAGGGAAACCGAGUCUUAACUGGGCGUUAAGUUGCAGGGUAUAGACCCGAAACCCGGUGAUCUAGCCAUGGGCAGGUUGAAGGUUGGGUAACACUAACUGGAGGACCGAACCGACUAAUGUUGAAAAAUUAGCGGAUGACUUGUGGCUGGGGGUGAAAGGCCAAUCAAACCGGGAGAUAGCUGGUUCUCCCCGAAAGCUAUUUAGGUAGCGCCUCGUGAAUUCAUCUCCGGGGGUAGAGCACUGUUUCGGCAAGGGGGUCAUCCCGACUUACCAACCCGAUGCAAACUGCGAAUACCGGAGAAUGUUAUCACGGGAGACACACGGCGGGUGCUAACGUCCGUCGUGAAGAGGGAAACAACCCAGACCGCCAGCUAAGGUCCCAAAGUCAUGGUUAAGUGGGAAACGAUGUGGGAAGGCCCAGACAGCCAGGAUGUUGGCUUAGAAGCAGCCAUCAUUUAAAGAAAGCGUAAUAGCUCACUGGUCGAGUCGGCCUGCGCGGAAGAUGUAACGGGGCUAAACCAUGCACCGAAGCUGCGGCAGCGACACUGUGUGUUGUUGGGUAGGGGAGCGUUCUGUAAGCCUGUGAAGGUGUGCUGUGAGGCAUGCUGGAGGUAUCAGAAGUGCGAAUGCUGACAUAAGUAACGAUAAAGCGGGUGAAAAGCCCGCUCGCCGGAAGACCAAGGGUUCCUGUCCAACGUUAAUCGGGGCAGGGUGAGUCGACCCCUAAGGCGAGGCCGAAAGGCGUAGUCGAUGGGAAACAGGUUAAUAUUCCUGUACUUGGUGUUACUGCGAAGGGGGGACGGAGAAGGCUAUGUUGGCCGGGCGACGGUUGUCCCGGUUUAAGCGUGUAGGCUGGUUUUCCAGGCAAAUCCGGAAAAUCAAGGCUGAGGCGUGAUGACGAGGCACUACGGUGCUGAAGCAACAAAUGCCCUGCUUCCAGGAAAAGCCUCUAAGCAUCAGGUAACAUCAAAUCGUACCCCAAACCGACACAGGUGGUCAGGUAGAGAAUACCAAGGCGCUUGAGAGAACUCGGGUGAAGGAACUAGGCAAAAUGGUGCCGUAACUUCGGGAGAAGGCACGCUGAUAUGUAGGUGAAGUCCCUCGCGGAUGGAGCUGAAAUCAGUCGAAGAUACCAGCUGGCUGCAACUGUUUAUUAAAAACACAGCACUGUGCAAACACGAAAGUGGACGUAUACGGUGUGACGCCUGCCCGGUGCCGGAAGGUUAAUUGAUGGGGUCAGCGCAAGCGAAGCUCUUGAUCGAAGCCCCGGUAAACGGCGGCCGUAACUAUAACGGUCCUAAGGUAGCGAAAUUCCUUGUCGGGUAAGUUCCGACCUGCACGAAUGGCGUAAUGAUGGCCAGGCUGUCUCCACCCGAGACUCAGUGAAAUUGAACUCGCUGUGAAGAUGCAGUGUACCCGCGGCAAGACGGAAAGACCCCGUGAACCUUUACUAUAGCUUGACACUGAACAUUGAGCCUUGAUGUGUAGGAUAGGUGGGAGGCUUUGAAGUGUGGACGCCAGUCUGCAUGGAGCCGACCUUGAAAUACCACCCUUUAAUGUUUGAUGUUCUAACGUGGACCCGUGAUCCGGGUUGCGGACAGUGUCUGGUGGGUAGUUUGACUGGGGCGGUCUCCUCCUAAAGAGUAACGGAGGAGCACGAAGGUUGGCUAAUCCUGGUCGGACAUCAGGAGGUUAGUGCAAUGGCAUAAGCCAGCUUGACUGCGAGCGUGACGGCGCGAGCAGGUGCGAAAGCAGGUCAUAGUGAUCCGGUGGUUCUGAAUGGAAGGGCCAUCGCUCAACGGAUAAAAGGUACUCCGGGGAUAACAGGCUGAUACCGCCCAAGAGUUCAUAUCGACGGCGGUGUUUGGCACCUCGAUGUCGGCUCAUCACAUCCUGGGGCUGAAGUAGGUCCCAAGGGUAUGGCUGUUCGCCAUUUAAAGUGGUACGCGAGCUGGGUUUAGAACGUCGUGAGACAGUUCGGUCCCUAUCUGCCGUGGGCGCUGGAGAACUGAGGGGGGCUGCUCCUAGUACGAGAGGACCGGAGUGGACGCAUCACUGGUGUUCGGGUUGUCAUGCCAAUGGCACUGCCCGGUAGCUAAAUGCGGAAGAGAUAAGUGCUGAAAGCAUCUAAGCACGAAACUUGCCCCGAGAUGAGUUCUCCCUGACCCUUUAAGGGUCCUGAAGGAACGUUGAAGACGACGACGUUGAUAGGCCGGGUGUGUAAGCGCAGCGAUGCGUUGAGCUAACCGGUACUAAUGAACCGUGAGGCUUAACCU
Molecule: ribosomal RNA, 2902 nt
Filed under: Escherichia coli
Lineage: Bacteria; Pseudomonadati; Pseudomonadota; Gammaproteobacteria; Enterobacterales; Enterobacteriaceae
Description: 23S ribosomal RNA
Rfam family: Bacterial large subunit ribosomal RNA
Source: RNAcentral